UUGAAAAUUCAUUUCCUCCACUUUUUUCUAAUAUUUCACAUGCACAAUUAUUAUAAUUUUGACCUUGAUAAUUUUAAGACAUGAGGAAAAAGUUUUCUAAAAACAAAUUUGUAACAGUACCUAUUGUCUCGGAGUUGGCUGCGAUCCCGGAGAGAAGAAGGACGAUGAGUAGCGGCUCCAUCGGUUGUUGGAAAAGGACUGAACUGGAAGCCCGACGGGGUUGUUACAGGGGUUGUACGCCGGGGGUGGAGGCGUGACUCCCCCUCCAGACACCCUUUUCCUUGUCCAGACCUUCCCGUCUGUAUUUUUAGGUCUGAUUGUCCUCAUUGGAUAUUACUAUUCAAUAAAAUAAUUAAGGAUAGUCAAUUAAAUUUCACGGGGCUCAAAUUCACUCGAUUUUCUAGAUAUUAUUAACAACGGGAAAAUUUAUUUGGUCUUUUUUCGACUGAUAAAAAUGUUUAACCUUCUUUUGACUCGAAAUACUCAAAAGGAUUUUUCUGUUUAUUUGAACCUUUUCCUGUUCUAAUACACGACAUAAGAGGCGAAAGAGAAUUUUAUUUUUCACACGUAUAAUCAGCCCCUUAGGAAGAAUUCCUUUUAUGUUCAUCCAGCCUCAUGUUAUAACCCAGGUUUAUAAUCAAAUUCGCAAUAAAAACAUACUUCAUUUGUACUGGGUUUGGCGCUGAUUAGCACUGUUUAACUUUCUCGAAAGGAAAUAAUUUGAAAAUGUCAUUCGUCCACCCAGUCUCGCUACAUGUUUCGCUGUAUUGCCUCACAGUAGGACAGACAAUUUCUUUCGCAAACUUCGAACAAACAGAUUAACAGUACACCUAAUAUAAAAACCGAUGAGACAGAAUGGAAUGAACGAAGAAGACUAAUCAAUACAUCGUAUCGAAGGCCUCAAAA
Molecule: long non-coding RNA, 906 nt
Organism: Cimex lectularius (bed bug)
Lineage: Eukaryota; Metazoa; Arthropoda; Insecta; Hemiptera; Cimicidae
Exons: 3
Source: RefSeq, a predicted model, not a curated record